Long non-coding RNA from Triticum aestivum (bread wheat), 491 nucleotides. RefSeq lists it as uncharacterized. NCBI's taxonomy places the organism in Eukaryota, Viridiplantae, Streptophyta, Magnoliopsida, Poales, Poaceae. The transcript has 4 exons. The record is from RefSeq and is a predicted model, not a curated record.
AGGGCCCCACACGGUGGUUGAAAACAUGCCGAGACCGCCGUCUCUACAUCCAUACGUGGAGUGGAGGUCGCCCUCGCCAGGACACCACCAACCCGAGGAGGAAGAGGUGCCGUUCGUCCGCCUGGCUGGCAUCGCUUCCCCCUGGACUUCGGGCUGCUCGAUGCUGUGCUGCUCCCCGUGAUUUGCGUCCUCUGCAUGCGACUUGCCUCUCUCCGAUCUGGAUACACCAUCGCCAGCCAUGUAACUGUCAUCGUUAGAUGAAAUAUUUGCCGAUAUGGAAAUUGCAGGAACCUUGUGCAACUGAUAUACUUUCCCGUCAUGAAAAAUCCUUCUCUCAGUUCAUCCAGUGUCAACUAUUUAGAUCAUAUAUGGAUGUUGCAGUUUCAUGCGAGCCUUGUAAAGUUCACUUCAUCUACGGAUUUACAGUUCGUGAAUCCAAGGGAUCCACUGUAGUGUAUAAAGCAUCAGAUCCUGAAUUGAUAUGUCAGGUA